Molecule: small nuclear RNA, 20 nt
Filed under: Arabidopsis thaliana (thale cress)
Lineage: Eukaryota; Viridiplantae; Streptophyta; Magnoliopsida; Brassicales; Brassicaceae
Description: snRNA_16601
Source: RNAcentral
CUGACGGCAAACCUGUAGGU